Molecule: ribosomal RNA, 692 nt
Filed under: bacterium TN83A
Lineage: Bacteria
Description: bacterial SSU rRNA
Rfam family: Bacterial small subunit ribosomal RNA
Source: RNAcentral
GUUUGAUCCUGGCUGAGGAUGAACGCUGGCGGCGUGCUUAACACAUGCAAGUCGAACGAUGAUCUCCAGCUUGCUGGGGGGAUUAGUGGCGAACGGGUGAGUAACACGUGAGUAACCUGCCCUUGACUCUGGGAUAAGCCUGGGAAACUGGGUCUAAUACCGGAUAUGACCAUCUGGCGCAUGUCAUGGUGGUGGAAAGCUUUUUUGUGGUUUUGGAUGGACUCGCGGCCUAUCAGCUUGUUGGUGGGGUAAUGGCCUACCAAGGCGACGACGGGUAGCCGGCCUGAGAGGGUGACCGGCCACACUGGGACUGAGACACGGCCCAGACUCCUACGGGAGGCAGCAGUGGGGAAUAUUGCACAAUGGGCGCAAGCCUGAUGCAGCGACGCCGCGUGAGGGAUGACGGCCUUCGGGUUGUAAACCUCUUUCAGUAGGGAAGAAGCGUAAGUGACGGUACCUGCAGAAGAAGCGCCGGCUAACUACGUGCCAGCAGCCGCGGUAAUACGUAGGGCGCAAGCGUUAUCCGGAAUUAUUGGGCGUAAAGAGCUCGUAGGCGGUUUGUCGCGUCUGCUGUGAAAGACCGGGGCUCAACUCCGGUUCUGCAGUGGGUACGGGCAGACUAGAGUGCAGUAGGGGAGACUGGAAUUCCUGGUGUAGCGGUGAAAUGCGCAGAUAUCAGGAGGAACACCGAU